RNAcentral lists this ribosomal RNA (640 nucleotides) under uncultured Tomentella. RNAcentral's name for it is "eukaryotic LSU rRNA". The stretch from base 248 to 402 matches the Rfam family "5.8S ribosomal RNA". The record is from RNAcentral. Lineage: Eukaryota; Fungi; Basidiomycota; Agaricomycetes; Thelephorales; Thelephoraceae.
AAGUCGUAACAAGGUUUCCGUAGGUGAACCUGCGGAAGGAUCAUUACUGAACGUCGACACGAGUUGUUGCUGGUCCCUGAAAGGGGGCAUGUGCACGCUCUGUUUACACAUCCACUCACACCUGUGCACCCUCUGUAGUUCUAUGGCCUUGGGGACUCUGUCCUCUUGCCGUAGUCCUGCAUCUUUACACACACACACCGUAACACAGUCUCAUGGAAUGCAUGUAGCGUUUAACGCAAUACAAUACAACUUUCAGCAACGGAUCUCUUGGCUCUCGCAUCGAUGAAGAACGCAGCGAAAUGCGAUAAGUAAUGUGAAUUGCAGAAUUCAGUGAAUCAUCGAAUCUUUGAACGCACCUUGCGCCCUUUGGCCAUUCCGAAGGGCAUGCCUGUUUGAGUAUCAUGAACACCUCAACUCUCAUGGUUCGCCAUGAUGAGCUUGGACUUUGGGGGCCUUGCCGGCUUGACUGUCGGCUCCUCUCAAAUGAAUCAGCUUGCCAGUGUUUGGUGGCAUCACAGGUGUGAUAACUAUCUACGCUUGUGACCGUUCACCAGGUAACCUUCAGCGAUGGAGGUUCGCUGGAGCUCACAGACGUCUCUCCCCAGGGAGGACAGCUUCUAAAUGUUGAUCUCAAUCAGGA